Molecule: ribosomal RNA, 253 nt
Filed under: uncultured bacterium
Lineage: Bacteria
Description: partial 16S ribosomal RNA
Rfam family: Bacterial small subunit ribosomal RNA
Source: RNAcentral
UACGGAGGGUGCAAGCGUUAUCCGGAUUCACUGGGUUUAAAGGGUGCGUAGGUGGGCAAGUAAGUCAGUGGUGAAAUCUCCGGGCCUAACCCGGAAACUGCCAUUGAUACUAUUUGUCUUGAAUACUGUGGAGGUCAGCGGAAUAUGUCAUGUAGCGGUGAAAUGCUUAGAUAUGACAUAGAACACCAAUUGCGAAGGCAGCUGGCUACACAAAUAUUGACACUGAGGCACGAAAGCGUGGGGAUCAAACAGG